Molecule: ribosomal RNA, 467 nt
Filed under: uncultured bacterium
Lineage: Bacteria
Description: partial 16S ribosomal RNA
Rfam family: Bacterial small subunit ribosomal RNA
Source: RNAcentral
GACGAACGCUGGCGGCGUGCUUAACACAUGCAAGUCGAACGGAAAGGCCCUGCUUUUGUGGGGUGCUCGAGUGGCGAACGGGUGAGUAACACGUGAGUAACCUGCCCUUGACUUUGGGAUAACUUCAGGAAACUGGGGCUAAUACCGGAUAGGAGCUCCUGCUGCAUGGUGGGGGUUGGAAAGUUUCGGCGGUUGGGGAUGGACUCGCGGCUUAUCAGCUUGUUGGUGGGGUAGUGGCUUACCAAGGCUUUGACGGGUAGCCGGCCUGAGAGGGUGACCGGCCACAUGGGGAGUGAGAUACGGCCCAGACUCCGACGGGAGGCAGGAGGGGGGAAUAUUGCAAAAGGGGCGGAAGCCGGAUGCAGAAACGCCGGGGGGGGGAAGACGGCCUUCGGGUUGUAAACCGCUUUCGCCUGUGACGACGCGUGAGUGACGGUAAUGGGUAAAGAAGCACCGGCUAACUACGU